Molecule: ribosomal RNA, 1258 nt
Filed under: Microsporidia sp. PP1
Lineage: Eukaryota; Fungi; Microsporidia
Description: bacterial SSU rRNA
Rfam family: Microsporidia small subunit ribosomal RNA (bases 1-819)
Source: RNAcentral
GGGUGGAUUGCGCUGUGAUCCCGUAGGAUGAGGAGUGUCUAGGGGCCAGGUUAUUAAACGGCAAGCGGUGAAAUGUUCUGACCCGUUUAGGAGCGACAGAGGCGAAAGCGCUGGCCAGGGGCAAUUCCGAUGAUAAAGGACGUAGGCUAGAGGAUCGAAGACGAUUAGAGACCGUUGUAGUUCUAGCAGUAAACGAUGCCGAUGUUGUGGUGCCAUGAGGCAACGCAAAAGAGAAAUCUAGUAGGGCCCUGGGGAGAGUACGCGCGCAAGCGAGAAAUUUAAAGGAAAUUGACGGAUGAACACCUCAAAGAGUGGAGUGUGCGGCUUAAUUUGACUCAACGCGGGACAGCUUACCGGGCCCGACGACCGUAUGAGCGUGACACGCGAUAGGUCGGAGAGUGGUGCAUGGCCGUUAACGACGAGUGGAGUGAUCUUUGGGUUAAGUCCGUAAAUUAGUGAGACCCCAGCGAAAGGACAGGUGCGCAACGCACAGGAAGGAUGGGUCAAGGACAGGUCAGUGAUGCCCUUAGAUGGCCCGGGCUGCACGCGCACUACAGUGGUCGCCGAAAUUUGAAGGAAGAGUUAAAGGCGAUCGAGAGGGAAUGAGCUUUGGAAGAGGCUCAGGAACGCGGAAUUGUUAGUAAUCGCGGGCUCAUUAAGACGCGAUGAAUACGACCCUGUUCAUUGUACACACCGCCCGUCGUUAUCGAAGACGAUGCUAGGCGCGAGCGAGGUUUGAUGGCUGAGCAAGCGCAGGGUAUUGAAUCUGAUGUAAGUCGUAACAAGGUAGCUGUAGGAGAACCUGUAGCUGGAUCAGACAAGUAGAAACAUUUGAGAUAAAGAAAUCUCUGCGCAAGGGAUCUUUUGGCUCGCGGGACGACGAAGGGCGCAGCGGAUGGCGUAAAGUGCAGGAGCAGCAGCGAUGACAGCACGUGCCUGAAACAGCGAGAGCAUGAACACCCCUUUGAAUUAAGCAUAUGAGUAAAGGGAGGAAAAGAAACUUACAAGGAUUCCUGCAGUAGCGGCGAGCGAAGAAGGAAGAGCCCCGAGUGCAAUCACGUGAGUGAGAUGUCGGCGGUCGCAGCAACGGCGUUGAAUCGCCGGCCACUGAGGGUGAUAGCCCCGUGCGAGACCGGAUGCGGGAGUAGCAGUGUUUGGUAUUGCACUGUGAACGGGUGGCAGCGCCCAUCCAAGGCUAAAUACGGCGCGAGACCGAUAGCGAAGAAGUAGUGCGAACGAAGAACGAAUAGGCUAAAAG